Molecule: ribosomal RNA, 371 nt
Filed under: uncultured bacterium
Lineage: Bacteria
Description: bacterial SSU rRNA
Rfam family: Bacterial small subunit ribosomal RNA
Source: RNAcentral
AACGAACGCUGGCGGCGUGGAUAAGACAUGCAAGUCGAACGGGAACUUCAGCUGUAGCAAUACAGUUGAAGUUUUAGUGGCGAACGGGUGCGUAACACGUGGGCAAUCUGCCGAGAAGUGGGGGAUAGCUCGCCGAAAGGCGAAUUAAUACCGCAUAUGAUCAGCUAAGACAUCUUAGCGACAUCAAAGCCGGGGCAACCUGGCGCUUUUUUGAGGAGCCCGCGGCCUAUCAGCUAGUUGGUGAGGUAACGGCUCACCAAGGCUAUGACGGGUAGCUGGUCUGAGAGGACGACCAGUCACACUGGAACUGAGACACGGUCCAGACACCUACGGGUGGCAGCAGUCGAGAAUUUUUGACAAUGGGGAAACCC